AUCCAGCUGAUCAGUUCCGAAAAGGACGAAAUGCGCGUCCUGGAU
This 45-nucleotide non-coding RNA is filed under the name Schistosoma mansoni. Lineage: Eukaryota; Metazoa; Platyhelminthes; Trematoda; Strigeidida; Schistosomatidae. The record is from RNAcentral.